UGGGGAAUAUUGCACAAUGGGCGCAAGCCUGAUGCAGCCAUGCCGCGUGUAUGAAGAAGGCCUUCGGGUUGUAAAGUACUUUCAGUCGGGAGGAAGGUGGUAAGGUUAAUAACCUUAUCAAUUGACGUUACCGACAGAAGAAGCACCGGCUAACUCCGUGCCAGCAGCCGCGGUAAUACGGAGGGUGCAAGCGUUAAUCGGAAUUACUGGGCGUAAAGCGCACGCAGGCGGUCUGUCAAGUCGGAUGUGAAAUCCCCGGGCUCAACCUGGGAACUGCAUUCGAAACUGGCAGGCUAGAGUCUUGUAGAGGGGGGUAGAAUUCCAUGUGUAGCGGUGAAAUGCGUAGAGAUGUGGAGGAAUACCGGUGGCGAAGGCGGCCCCCUGGACAAAGACUGACGCUCAGGUGCGAAAGCGUGGGGAGCAAACAGG
Molecule: ribosomal RNA, 429 nt
Filed under: Chloroflexota bacterium
Lineage: Bacteria; Bacillati; Chloroflexota
Description: Chloroflexi bacterium partial 16S ribosomal RNA
Rfam family: Bacterial small subunit ribosomal RNA
Source: RNAcentral